Molecule: long non-coding RNA, 450 nt
Filed under: Coturnix japonica (Japanese quail)
Lineage: Eukaryota; Metazoa; Chordata; Aves; Galliformes; Phasianidae
Description: lncRNA (ENSCJPG00005002539.1)
Source: RNAcentral
AUACUGUCAGUGUAAGCUGCUUCACAUGGAGAUAUUUCUGGUGGGAGCAUAACAGUAUUUGCAUGAAGACUGAACAGGGGUUAGUUCUACCUAACCUUAGGUGCCCAAGGUGCAUCACAUAGAAGCCCAGUCAUAUCCAGAGGACAAUCAGAUCUCAGACCCUCCUAAGGUGCCGAAAUCCACUCAGUCGCUUUCACACACCCACAGAAAAUAAUGGCUUGACCUGCCUGUGGCCAGAUCUGACAUGCCCUGCUGUGGUGGGAAAAUUAAUUCACCUCACUACACCGCAGUCACCCUCAGCUGAGUCCUGCAAUUAUUUCAUUAUGAUCUAAGUAAGGCUGAUAACAGAUCUCAUUUGAUACCAUGGAUGGCUGGGGGGGGCAGCAUGGGGGUGGGAAGUGGAUGCCCUCACAUGUCAAGGCCUUGCAUCUAACCAACCAAGCUUUGUAA